CCCCUCAUGGUACCUCAUAUCUCUCUUAUAACAACUCUUAUGUCUAAAUUUCCUUAAUGUUACAAGAAUUUAGUCAUCCAUAGUUUCCUGACUUAUUCUCUCCAAGAUCCAUCAUAAUUUCCAUAAUUCCUUUCUUCACCCUUUGUCUUUUCAUUAAAAAUAAAGAACACUAAUACACUGAUAAUUGAAUAGUAAUUGACGAUAGUAACUUAACAAUAGUAAACA
This 225-nucleotide long non-coding RNA is filed under the name Elaeis guineensis (African oil palm). Its description in RNAcentral is "long non-coding RNA (EGUI_LNC041505)". Lineage: Eukaryota; Viridiplantae; Streptophyta; Magnoliopsida; Arecales; Arecaceae. The record is from RNAcentral.